RNAcentral lists this long non-coding RNA (734 nucleotides) under Mytilus galloprovincialis (Mediterranean mussel). Lineage: Eukaryota; Metazoa; Mollusca; Bivalvia; Mytilida; Mytilidae. The record is from RNAcentral.
AGCAAUAGCAAGAAAUCUUCAAUUACACAGUAUUGUGCAAUAGCAAGAAAUCUUCAAUUGCACAGUAUUGUGCAAUAGCAAAUAUUUUCAUUUGCACAGUAUUGCACAAUAGCAAGAAAUAUCUAAUUGCACAAUAUUGUGCAAAAGCAAGAAAUUCCAAUUGGAUUUCAAUUGGAGUUAUCUUUCUUUGUCCAGAAUAGUAGUUGAAUCAACUUAAAUCAUUGUUUUAUACAAUAUACAAUGUAUAUUCACUUUUACUACCAACUGAUAGAUUAAAACAAUCUUUACCAUUCAGUAAUAACAAGCACUUUUUUUACAUUUUAAUAUUUUAUGAUGUAUUUAAAUGAGUAGUUAUUGUUGCAAACUUCAUUAGAAAUUUGAAUUGAGAUCAGUUUUUGAAAUAAGGGAAAGGGGGAUGUGAAAAAAAAAAUUGGGGGGUCAAUUUUUUUCAUUUCAGAUUUCAUAAAUAAAAAGAAAAUUUCUACAAACAUUUUUUUGAGAGGAUUAAUAUUCAACAGCAUAGUGAAUUGUCAAAGGCAAACAUAUUUUUUUUAAGUUCAUUAGACCACAUUCAUUCUGUGUCAGAAACCUAUGCUGUGUCAACUAUUUAAUCACAAUCCAAAUUUAGAGCUGAAUCCAGCUUGAAUGUUGUGUCCAUACUUGCCCCAACCAUUCAGGGUUCAACCUCUGCGGUCGUAUAAAGCUGCGCCCUGCGGAGCAUCUGGUUCUUAUUU